UACAGAGGUCUCAAGCGUUGUUCGGAUUCAUUGGGCGUAAAGGGUGCGUAGGUGGCGCCGUAAGUCGGGUGUGAAAUUUCGGAGCUUAACUCCGAAACUGCAUUCGAUACUGCGGUGCUUGAGGACUGGAGAGGAGACUGGAAUUCAUGGUGUAGCAGUGAAAUGCGUAGAUAUCAAGUGGAACACCAGUGGCGAAGGCGAAUCCCUGGAAAAUACCUGACACUGAGGCACGAAAGCUAGGGGAGCAAACAGG
RNAcentral lists this ribosomal RNA (253 nucleotides) under uncultured bacterium. RNAcentral's name for it is "partial 16S ribosomal RNA". It matches the Rfam family "Bacterial small subunit ribosomal RNA", at positions 524 to 776 of the family's 1533-position model. The record is from RNAcentral.